GGGACACGUGGUAUCCUGUCUGAAUAUGGGGGGACCAUCCUCCAAGGCUAAAUACUCCUGACUGACCGAUAGUGAACCAGUACCGUGAGGGAAAGGCGAAAAGAACCCCGGCGAGGGGAGUGAAAAAGAACCUGAAACCGUGUACGUACAAGCAGUGGGAGCACCUUCGGGUGUGACUGCGUACCUUUUGUAUAAUGGGUCAGCGACUUAUAUUCUGUAGCAAGGUUAACCGUAUAGGGGAGCCGCAGGGAAACCGAGUCUUAACUGGGCGUUAAGUUGCAGGGUAUAGACCCGAAACCCGGUGAUCUAGCCAUGGGCAGGUUGAAGGUUGGGUAACACUAACUGGAGGACCGAACCGACUAAUGUUGAAAAAUUAGCGGAUGACUUGUGGCUGGGGGUGAAAGGCCAAUCAAACCGGGAGAUAGCUGGUUCUCCCCGAAAGCUAUUUAGGUAGCGCCUCGUGAAUUCAUCUUCGGGGGUAGAGCACUGUUUCGG
Molecule: ribosomal RNA, 495 nt
Filed under: Klebsiella pneumoniae
Lineage: Bacteria; Pseudomonadati; Pseudomonadota; Gammaproteobacteria; Enterobacterales; Enterobacteriaceae
Description: partial 23S ribosomal RNA
Rfam family: Bacterial large subunit ribosomal RNA
Source: RNAcentral